Molecule: ribosomal RNA, 366 nt
Filed under: uncultured Glomeromycotina
Lineage: Eukaryota; Fungi; Glomeromycota
Description: eukaryotic LSU rRNA
Source: RNAcentral
UUGAAAGGGAAACGAUUGAAGUCAGUCGUACCGACGAGAAAUCAACUUAUCGUGUGCGAACUUGUGGGCGUGCGUGAGUUUCGGCCUCGCUGUUUGCAUGUUUGUGCGUUUUGGGUGUACUUUUUCGUAUGGUAGGCCAACGUCAGUUUCGAUUAUCAUAAAAUGACCGGCGGAAUGUAGCUUCGAUUUCGGUUGAAGUGUUAUAGCCUCUGGUAGAUGUGGUGAUUGAGACUGAGGAUUGCAACGAAUACCCUUUGGGCUAUCCGUCUGGCCUCUGAAAGUUGCUCAGGUGCCGAAAGCGUGCUUACGGUCAUCUAAGAUAACGUUCAACAGGUUAGAACGUGAUUACAUUCGUUAAGGAUGUUG